This is a long non-coding RNA of Ipomoea nil (Japanese morning glory), 91 nucleotides long. RefSeq lists it as uncharacterized. The transcript has 3 exons. The record is from RefSeq and is a predicted model, not a curated record. Lineage: Eukaryota; Viridiplantae; Streptophyta; Magnoliopsida; Solanales; Convolvulaceae.
AAAGCAAUCAAUAUAGAAACAAGUUACACCAAAACCACAAGACUAGACUAACACAAACUAACAACUGACUAAGUCUCAACACGCUUAUCUU